This is a long non-coding RNA of Ornithorhynchus anatinus (platypus), 476 nucleotides long. RefSeq lists it as uncharacterized. NCBI's taxonomy places the organism in Eukaryota, Metazoa, Chordata, Mammalia, Monotremata, Ornithorhynchidae. The record is from RefSeq and is a predicted model, not a curated record. The transcript has 3 exons.
GUGGGGCCUGGGAGUCAGAGGGUUUGGGUUCUAAUCGCCAGUCUGCCGCUUGUCGUGUGACUCUAGGAAGACCUUCCCCUACCCCCGCCUUGGAGGACAGCAAGAAAGAUUUAGAUUAGAUAUGAAGAAGAACUUCUCCGAGGCUAUGAAACUGUGGAGCAGGAGAAGUUAUGGACUCUUCAGUUCCGACGAUCUGUAAUAGGAUUCACACCUAGAGGAGCAGAGCAAGCUCUGAGCUCUCCGAAGGGAUCGGCGGCGGUAUUGUUCCCUCCUUCAAGGAUUUCGAGCUGAGGAUGUAUGCAAUAUUCUCAUCUUUCUUGUCGAAAAUAGAAAAUUUAAGAUUAUUUCAUCUCUUGAUCUUACAAAUAUUGACACAGUAAUGUUCCCCAAAUCUCCUAAAAGAUAAAAAUUUCGGUCAAAGUGUUGAACUAAAAAAUUUAAACCUGCACAACCCAAAUCAGCGAUGUCUCCUUACA